This 507-nucleotide ribosomal RNA is filed under the name Pseudomonas nunensis. RNAcentral's name for it is "partial 23S ribosomal RNA". It matches the Rfam family "Bacterial large subunit ribosomal RNA", at positions 1947 to 2453 of the family's 2925-position model. The record is from RNAcentral. Lineage: Bacteria; Pseudomonadati; Pseudomonadota; Gammaproteobacteria; Pseudomonadales; Pseudomonadaceae.
GGUCCUAAGGUGGCGAAAUUGCUUGUCGGGUAAGUUCCGACCGGCACGAAAGGCGUAACGAUUUGGGCACUGUCUCAACGAGAGACUCGGUGAAAUCAUAGUACCUGUGAAGAUGCAGGUUACCCGCGACAGGACGGAAAGACCCCGUGGAGCUUUACUGUAGCCUGAUAUUGAAAUUCGGCACAGCUUGUACAGGAUAGGUAGGAGCCUGAGAUACGUGAGCGCUAGCUUACGUGGAGGCGCUGGUGGGAUACUACCCUAGCUGUGUUGGCUUUCUAACCCGCACCACUUAUCGUGGUGGGAGACAGUGUCAGGCGGGCAGUUUGACUGGGGCGGUCGCCUCCUAAAAGGUAACGGAGGCGCUCAAAGGUUCCCUCAGAAUGGUUGGAAAUCAUUCAUAGAGUGUAAAGGCAUAAGGGAGCUUGACUGCGAGACCUACAAGUCGAGCAGGGUCGAAAGACGGACUUAGUGAUCCGGUGGUUCCGCAUGGAAGGGCCAUCGCUCAAC